GGGGGUGUACUGGUUUCGACGGGGCUGUUGACACAUGGAUUGCGAGUAGAGGAUUCUCGUUGGCCUCUAUAAAAACGAGAAAUUAAAAUUAAACGCAAGAAAUAACACUUCUUUGCAGGCUGCUUAAUUGCAGUCACGUUGACCCGGAGGUCACCCGUGCCUCCGGUAAUCAGCGUCAUUAAGUCGGGCCCGCCUGCGCGGCGGUCAGCGCAGGGUACGGAAUCGAUUAAGCUUUGCGGCGAUUCGGCACUUAUGAAGCUACCGGUUAUAUUUUUUCGGCCGUCUGAAAUUAUAACCGGGAAUCUAAUCGGCGGCAUACACUCGUAGACAUCUAUGGAGAUAUGGUUUCGGACAGGGGUUCGACUCCCCUCAUCUCCACCA
Molecule: transfer-messenger RNA, 381 nt
Filed under: Clostridia
Lineage: Bacteria; Bacillati; Bacillota
Also listed under: 2 other names
Description: Egerieisoma sp900552695 Standard tmRNA
Rfam family: transfer-messenger RNA
About the family: Bacterial tmRNA, also known as 10Sa RNA or SsrA, is named for its dual tRNA and mRNA-like properties.
Source: RNAcentral